AUUGAACGCUGGCGGCAUGCUUUACACAUGCAAGUCGAACGGCAGCGCGGGCUUCGGCCUGGCGGCGAGUGGCGAACGGGUGAGUAAUACAUCGGAACGUGCCCAGUAGUGGGGGAUAGCUCGGCGAAAGCCGGAUUAAUACCGCAUACGACCUGAGGGUGAAAGCGGGGGAUCUUCGGACCUCGCGCUAUUGGAGCGGCCGAGGGCAGAUUAGCUAGUUGGUGGGGUAAAGGCCUACCAAGGCGACGAUCUGUAGCUGGUCUGAGAGGAGGACAAGCCAACUGGGGAGUGAGACGCGGCCAAUGCGCCUGCGGGAGGGAGCAGUGGGGUAUUUUGGACAGUGGGCGGGAGUCUUGCCCAGUGGGGCGGCGUGUGAUGUAGAGGCCUUGGGGUUGUAAAGAAGUUUUGGGGGGAACAAAAAGGAUUGGCCCAAUACCACGGUUGAAUGACGGUACCCGGAGAAUAAGCACCGGCUAACUACGUG
Molecule: ribosomal RNA, 484 nt
Filed under: uncultured bacterium
Lineage: Bacteria
Description: partial 16S ribosomal RNA
Rfam family: Bacterial small subunit ribosomal RNA
Source: RNAcentral